RNAcentral lists this transfer RNA (73 nucleotides) under Lachnospiraceae bacterium. RNAcentral's name for it is "tRNA-Thr". It matches the Rfam family "tRNA". From Rfam's summary of the family: Transfer RNA (tRNA) molecules are approximately 80 nucleotides in length. Their secondary structure includes four short double-helical elements and three loops (D, anti-codon, and T loops). Further hydrogen bonds mediate the characteristic L-shaped molecular structure. tRNAs have two regions of fundamental functional importance: the anti-codon, which is responsible for specific mRNA codon recognition, and the 3' end, to which the tRNAs corresponding amino acid is attached (by aminoacyl-tRNA synthetases). tRNAs cope with the degeneracy of the genetic code in two manners: having more than one tRNA (with a specific anti-codon) for a particular amino acid; and 'wobble' base-pairing, i.e. permitting non-standard base-pairing at the 3rd anti-codon position. RNAcentral also lists the same sequence under 1 other name. Lineage: Bacteria; Bacillati; Bacillota; Clostridia; Lachnospirales; Lachnospiraceae. The record is from RNAcentral.
GCUGCCUUGGCGCAGUCGGUAGCGCGCAUCCUUGGUAAGGAUGAGGUCGGCGGUUCAAAUCCGCUAGGCAGCU